UACGUAGGGUGCAAGCGUUAUCCGGAAUUAUUGGGCGUAAAGAGCUCGUAGGCGGUUUGUUGCGUCUGCUGUGAAAACCCGAGGCUCAACCUCGGGCCUGCAGUGGGUACGGGCAGACUAGAGUGCGGUAGGGGAGAUUGGAAUUCCUGGUGUAGCGGUGGAAUGCGCAGAUAUCAGGAGGAACACCGAUGGCGAAGGCAGAUCUCUGGGCCGUAACUAACGCUGAGGAGCGAAAGCGUGGGGAGCGAACAGG
This 253-nucleotide ribosomal RNA is filed under the name uncultured bacterium. RNAcentral's name for it is "partial 16S ribosomal RNA". It matches the Rfam family "Bacterial small subunit ribosomal RNA", at positions 524 to 776 of the family's 1533-position model. The record is from RNAcentral.